AUAUAGUCUGGUAACAGCGCGAGUAAACUAUAAAAUUUACAACACAUGGUUUUUUUUUUUUUUUUUUUUUUUGGUUUCGUUAGAGCAUAUUGUAUGUGUGCUUCUUGAUACGGGGAAGUGACUAGCUAUAUAUGCUAAUGGGCCAAUGAAGCAGGCCUGUAAAUGGCUAUUUGGCCCAUUAUUCCUACACACGUUUCAUCACUCGUUGAGGUUUCAUUAGAAAAGUUGGAAGUUUGAGUUGUUAGCAUAAAAUCUUGCUCUCACAGGUUCCACUUGUUUUCUUCUCUCAAGAGUUCACAGGUUAUCUUUUCUUUUUAGACACCAAUUCACAGGUUAUCUAAUGUGACCUUUUGGCUUUACUCUUUCAUGCUUCACAUGCUCUGUACCAAUUUUUUUUUUUUUUGGGCAAAGCUCUGUACCAUUAUAUAAAACAAAACCAUAACGACAAAUGCAUGUCCUAUCUUCACUCUCUUCAAAUUUCAGUGUACAGAAGAUUAAAAUGCAAUAAAUCUUGAAAAUUUUCUUCCUUUUGAAUAUUCUUACUCCACAAGCAAAGAAGAGAUAACAAGACAGACAAAAAACACACAAUAGUUACAAGCAAAACAACCAUCAAACUAAGCCAUUAAAAACGAAUCCAUGAUUCAGUGUAUUUGUUCCUUCUUUUACUUUUGGGUGUUUCAUUCUCUGGUAAUGACAUUCUCUGUUCUACUACAGCAC
This 717-nucleotide long non-coding RNA is filed under the name Capsella rubella. RNAcentral describes it as "long non-coding RNA (CRUB_LNC003377)". Lineage: Eukaryota; Viridiplantae; Streptophyta; Magnoliopsida; Brassicales; Brassicaceae. The record is from RNAcentral.